This 514-nucleotide ribosomal RNA is filed under the name uncultured bacterium. Its description in RNAcentral is "bacterial SSU rRNA". It matches the Rfam family "Bacterial small subunit ribosomal RNA", at positions 8 to 518 of the family's 1533-position model. The record is from RNAcentral.
AGAGUUGAGUCCUGGCUCAGGAUGAACGCUGGCGGCGUGCCUAAUACAUGCAAGUGAAACGGGUAUCUUCGGAUACCAGUCGCGGACGGGUGAGUAAUACAUAGGCAACCUGCCUUUAUGAGGGGGAUAACCGAGGGAAACUUUGGCUAAUACCGCAUGAAGACUCUAAGGCAUCUUAGAGGGAUAAAAGUUGGGAAACAACGCAUGAAGAUGGGCUUAUGGCGCAUUAGCUAGUUGGUGAGGUAGAAGCCCACCAAGGUAAUGAUGCGUAGCCGACCUGAGAGGGUGAACGGCCACAUUGGGACUGAGACACGGCCCAAACUCCUACGGGAGGCAGCAGUAGGGAAUUUUCGGCAAUGGGGGGAACCCUGGCCGAGCAACGCCGCGUGAAAAGGGAAGAAGGUUUUCGGAUUGUAAACUUCUGUUAUAAGGGAAGAACGGAUUGGAUAGGGAAUGAUCUGAUAGUGACGGUACCUUAUUAGAAAGCCACGGCUAACUACGUGCCAGCAGCGGC